AAGUCGUAACAAGGUCUCCGUUGGUGAACCAGCGGAGGGAUCAUUACAGAGUACUCGCUCUAUAAAACCCACUGUGAACUUACCUUUUUGUUGCCUCGGCGGGCGGCUCCAGGGCGGAGCCAGGGCCUCUUAGCUGAGGUGCCCGCCGAAGGUCCAAACCAAAACACUGCUGUAGUUGGCAUCUCCGAGUCAAAACACAAAUAAGUUAAAACUUUCAACAACGGAUCUCUUGGUUCUG
This 238-nucleotide unclassified non-coding RNA is filed under the name fungal sp. RNAcentral's name for it is "partial internal transcribed spacer region". The stretch from base 1 to 46 matches the Rfam family "Eukaryotic small subunit ribosomal RNA", at positions 1786 to 1831 of the family's 1831-position model. Lineage: Eukaryota; Fungi. The record is from RNAcentral.